CGCAGCUGGGGAGGAAGGUGCUGGGCAGCUGAGAGCUAAAGCACAUGGACAUGGGGUCCCAGGCUCACCUCCUCUUUUUCCUGUUGUUCUGGAUCCCAGAUGCCCGAGGGGCCAUUGAGCUGACCCAGUCUCCAGCCUCCCUGUCUGUGUCUCCAGGAGAGAAAGCUACCAUGUCCUGCACAGCCAGUCAGGGCAUUAGCAAUUACCUACACUGGUACCAACAGAAACCAGGCCAGGCUCCUAGGCUCCUCAUUAGAUACGCUUCCACCCUGCAUGGUGGGGUCCCCUCGAGGUUCAGUGGCAGUGGCUCUGGGACAGAUUUCUCCCUCACAAUCAGCAGUGUGGAGGCUGAGGAUGCUGCAGUCUAUACUGUCAGAGACUAUAAUUAUCGCCCCACAGUGCUACAGCUCUGA
This is a non-coding RNA of Phascolarctos cinereus (koala), 413 nucleotides long. NCBI's taxonomy places the organism in Eukaryota, Metazoa, Chordata, Mammalia, Diprotodontia, Phascolarctidae. The record is from the annotation of a RefSeq genome assembly.